GCAGGCGUAGCCAAGCGGAAUGGCAACCGGCUUUUAACCGGUAUAUCACGGGUUCGAAUCCUGUCGCCUGCA
RNAcentral lists this transfer RNA (72 nucleotides) under Enterocloster lavalensis. Its description in RNAcentral is "Clostridium lavalense tRNA". It matches the Rfam family "tRNA". From Rfam's summary of the family: Transfer RNA (tRNA) molecules are approximately 80 nucleotides in length. Lineage: Bacteria; Bacillati; Bacillota; Clostridia; Lachnospirales; Lachnospiraceae. The record is from Rfam by way of RNAcentral.